Molecule: ribosomal RNA, 461 nt
Filed under: uncultured bacterium
Lineage: Bacteria
Description: partial 16S ribosomal RNA
Rfam family: Bacterial small subunit ribosomal RNA
Source: RNAcentral
CCUACGGGGAGCUGCAGUGAGGACUAUUGGUCAAUGGGCGCGAGCCUGAACCAGCCAAGUAGCGUGAAGGAUGACUGCCCUACGGGUUGUAAACUUCUUUUAUAAAGGAAUAAAGUGAGGCACGUGUGCCUUUUUGUAUGUACUUUAUGAAUAAGGAUCGGUUAACUCCGUGCCAGCAGCCGCGGUAAUACGGAGGAUCCGAGCGUUAUCCGGAUUUAUUGGGUUUAAAGGGAGCGUAGAUGGGUUGUUAAGUCAGUUGUGAAAGUUUGCGGCUCAACCGUAAAAUUGCAAUUGAUACUGGCAUCCCUUGAGUGCGCGAGAAGUAUGCGGAAUGCGUGGUGUAGCGGUGAAAUGCAUAGAUAUCACGCAGAACUCCGAUUGCGAAGGCAGCAUACCGGCGCGCAACUGACGCUCAUGCACGAAAGCGUGGGUAUCGAACAGGAUUAGAUACCCCAUUAGUC